Non-coding RNA from Camelina sativa (false flax), 4543 nucleotides. The record is from RefSeq and is a predicted model, not a curated record. NCBI's taxonomy places the organism in Eukaryota, Viridiplantae, Streptophyta, Magnoliopsida, Brassicales, Brassicaceae.
GGGAGGACUGAUAUGAUCGUGGAGGUUGUUAAAGACCUUGUUGGAGGGAAGGAUCGAUGGUUUGAGAGUAUGUAACUUCGAGUUUCUGGUUACUUCACAUCUAUACUAAUGGCUAUUGUUGGUGAGGUUUUGGAUCGGAUGAUUGGGAAACGCUUCUUCUCCGUGACGUCUUCAGGGCAUCGUCUCCUUCCAUUUCCUAGUCUGAAAACAAAACGGAACGGAGGAGUGAGGAGUGAGGACUGAUCUGAGCUUUUGGUAUUGAUUAGAGGUGGGCGUUGAUUGAUUUAUUUGACUCUCUCUCUCUCUCGUUGAUGAUUCAGAACACAAUCGUCGCCAACGUGCUUGCUUAAGAGCAAGGAGAUCAUCAUCAUUCAAGGAAGGUAGAGACCAUGUACAACUAAUUCCAUUGAAUGACACCAUUCCAUGAGCCAACGUCCAACAACAAGAAGAAGAACACCUCCAGGAACCUGAGACGAAGUGGAAUAAAUAAUGGUGUCACCACAUUCCUAUAGGUCUUAGACCAAGUCUUCCCAAAGGUACACUCUCUUCUUAUUGACACUCUUGUAGUCAUUCCAUCACUGAUCAGGGUUCCGAGCCAACGCUGCAGUCAAGCAAUGGCCAAGGAGAUGGCCUUGUUAGCCUUCAAUCGGGCUCUUAACCAGAGUAUAUCCGGUUCUUGGUGUUGGGUUUCUACGGCAUCUUUGGCAACUUCUCGUCCAAAGCGUGGAAAUCACAGAUAUGGUGCAAAUGAGGAUGGGAGGACCUUGUUGUUUCCAUGGCGGAAACGAGUGUCACAAACAUAGCUGCUAGCUAGCUCUACCAAUCCAUGAAUGGGACCAUGAGAAACAUCUAAGAAGAAGUAGAAGAAGAACCCCUCAAGGAAGAUCAUUAUUCAAGACUAGAGACCAUGUUCAACUUCCAUGAAUGGGACCAUGUGCAAACGUCCAAGAAGAAGAAGAAGAACCCUCAAGGAUAAAGUGCCGUGUUAGAACCAGUAGCUACAACACAAAUCAAGCCUCAGGAGAUAACAAGUUAAUCCUACCGAAGCAAGCACAGAGAUCGCGGAGAUGCUUUCAAGAACGAAAACUGAUUCUAUUGGAUUGAUGGUGUUUGACCAAGUACAGGUUUACAGACCAUAGCAAGUUUCGUCAAGAACCAUCCGUGGCCUAACGUUGAUCGUUAUCACUUAAGCCUGACUAAUCACAUGCCUUGUUUUGUUGAAUCUUGGUUAUAAUUAAUAGAGUGACCUUUUCUUUCAGAUUUAGAUACUAAUACACCGUGAUUUUUGGCUGUCUCAAGGAAUCUCGUCAUCUGGUCACAGCUGAUAUGGGACUGCCGCUAGAGCGGCCAAAGAGUGUAAACAUGUCAUCCCAAAGGUGAAACUUUGCAACUUCGUGUCGCGCUUAAGCUCAGAGUGGUCUGUCCCAGCUCUUGAAAAAUAUUGGCCUUGGGAGUUCCAACUCAACAAAUUUGAGAGAUAAGAGACAGAGAGAGAUCGUUCUAAUGGUGACAAGAGAGCAACAUGAUGAUGGUUCGAAUCUACUACUCAACCGGUCCAUGAAUUGUGAGUCGAAUUUGCUUUCUAAACAAGUCAGACAGAGAGGUGGGCGUUGAUUGAUUUAUUUGACUCUCUCUCUCUCUCGUUGAUGAUUCAUAACACAAUCGUCGCCAACGUGCUUGCUUAAGGUCAAGGAGAUCAUCAUUGAAAGAGGUAGAGAGCAUGUACAACGUAUUCCAUUAAUGACACCAUUCUUUGAGCCAACGUCCAAGAACAGAAGAAGAAGAACACCUCCAGGGACCUGAGACAAGUGGAAUUGAUAAUGAUGCUGGUUGUUCCUGUUCUCGUAGUGUCACCACAUUCCUAUAGGCUGACAUCCUUGUUCGUGGUUUUGCUGGUUUGCCUUGAAGGUCUUAGACCAUGUCUUCCCAAAGAUCAUGAGGAACCCGGGUUACUGUGUGGGAGGUUCGAAGAGAAAGAAAAAUCAUUGUGGGAGUGCGUUUGAUUUCUGAGUUCAACUUUCAGUUAACAGUAAUGUCGCUGAUCUCCCUAGUGAUGCUGGCAUGUAUGUUUUAACUUUUAAGCCUAAGACCCUAUAUUUUAGUGGAGGAGGAUGUUUUGAUCGGCUGGGGAUGGUUUUGGGAUCGUUUUGUCUUCUCUGCGCUACAUCUUCAGGCUUUUGAUGAUGCUUUUAUUGAUGAGAGUGAUGGCUUUGAUGGACACGCUUAUUCUCUGUGCUACUUCUUCAAAGGGUGUUUUGGAAGCUAGUUAUGAUAUGAUCAUGGCGUAUUCUUCUCCAUGCUGCCACUUCUUCAGCCACGUUCUCACAGAUUCGUGGAGGCUUUGAUCGCUGAUGGCUUUGACUGAUCGUUGUCACUCUAAUUCAUGUUAUUCUUCUAGGAUUGUGGAGGAAAGAGGAUGCUUUGAUCGGUUGGUGAUGGUUUUGAUGGAUCGUUUUUGUCUUCUUUGCGGUACAUCUUUCAGAUCAUAAGGCACCAGGUGGGAGGUUCGAAGAGAGGAAAAAAAACAUUGUGGGGAGUGCGUAUGAUCAGGUCUUUUGGAAGCAAACCAUGAUCCAAUCAUCAGUAUUCUAAUCCAUGUAAUUGUCUUCAGGCGUCCUCAUGGGUUCCUUGCUCCAAUCAUCACUCUCUUACUCAUGUUGCUCUUCUAGAAUUGUGGAGGAGGAUGCUUUGAUCGGUUGGUGACAGUUUCGAUGGCUUGUAUUUGUCCUCUCUGCGUCGCCUACGUGCUUAAAAAGAGUAAAGUUGGUUCUUCUCAUUGAGGGAGACACUGGUUCGGGUAAGACUAUACAAUUAUCACAAACAAUAUCUCCAUGGAGCUGGUUUGAGAGGAAAGAGGAAAGAGCAAGUUGAGGCGCUGUGAAAAAGAGUUGUCUCAUCGUGCGGCUGUGCCAGGAUGUACAAGGAUGGUAGCAUCAUUCCAUUAGAUGAUUCUUUGGGUUUUGCUGCAAAUUUUUGACUCAUGCUGGGAUAUGGUAGUCCCCAGAUGAAAGAGCUCAUGAGGUUUUAUCUCACCAUGCCGUUGAGUAUGUUGGUUGUGGAGAGAGAGAGAGAGAUGAAAUGGCUGAGGAUAGAGAGCUAUUAGAACCAGUAGCUACAACACAAAGCAAGCCGCAGGAAAUAUCAAGUUACUCUUACCGAAGCAAGCACAUGCAUUGUAUGGAGAAUUAGGGUUCCUGGAGCUUCGAACUCAAAACCAUGUCUAUCUAUGGUCCAAUUUACUCGCUCAGGAUUGAUAGAAUUGCUCGUGUUGUCUUGGAGACUGCUCAGAAACGCGCAAGCUGUGUUCUGCUGAUAAAGCUGAUCUCUAUGGCCUCAAUUUUAUGGAAGAAACGAGUAAGAGAGCCUCUGAAUAUCCUGAUGCUGAGCUGUAACAUAUGUAUGUUGACAAUGCUGCGAUGACCCGCCAACAGCUUCAAUGAUCACAGGAAGCAUUGGAAUGCUGGCAUGCCGUCCAUUGCUCAAGUAUUUCUAAUUGGCCAGAUUCUCCUUGUCCAGUGUGUCGAUACUGCCAACAGCGACCUGAAAAUUUAGUACGUUGUGUUCGCCAAACAACGGAAAAUUUCUGGAUGUGUGUUAUAUAUGUCAAAUGAUUACUUACACAAUCUCAUCAAGCACCGCUUGGGAGAUCUUUCCUAAUGCUAAGUGUCUCAGAAGUUCGAAGACCCAGCAGAAGGGGAGGAUACACUGGUGGCAAAAAUUCAAGAAAUUAUACGACCAUCUCAGUACUGGAUUUCGUGCCUUGGUGGAUGGAACUCGGUUACGAGCCAAUACUGCACCCAAGCAAUGGCCAAGGAGAUGGCCUUGUUAGCCUUCAAUCGGGCUCUUACUUAAGCUGUCUAACUUCCUUUAUUUGGUGUUUUAGAAUAUCUGGUUCUUGGUGUUGGUUUUAUGGGAUCUUUGCCAACUUCUCGUCCAAAGCGUGGGGAUCACAGGGCCAAGGUUGGUUCUUGUCAUUGUGGGAGACACUGGUUCGGGAAAGACUACACAAUAUCUCCAUGAAGCUGGUUGAAAGGUACGACCUACUACUUGCCCCAACUACCCAAUAUUUCUUUUGCAGGUUUCUGGGAAGCCUGGGAUCACAGGUGUUUCAGCUCGCUAGGUCUCACAGCUUUAUGUAGUGGUGCCUCCUAUUCUACCUGAGCUGGGAAAGUCCGGAACCUGUGGCCUACGUCGAUUCUCAUAGCGGAGUGCUGCUGAGUUAGAUUUUGUACCGAGACCUACUCUUCAAUUUUUUGACGUCUGGUUAUUGUAGGAGUUGCUCAAUAGCAUUUUUGUUUCUGAUUAUGCUUAAGUUGAUCACAUGGCUCAUGUUGCAUUUGAGAUUGCUACGCAAAGGUGCGGUAAAUUUUGUUCUGUUGAAAAGGGCCACAAGCCUACUAUUUUGGAGGGAAACGAGUGUGAAAAACAUAGCUAGCACUACCAAACUGAUUAUGGAAAGUCAAGCCAUCGAAAGGCAAAAGCUAGAUGAUGCAAACUCAAGACAGAACCAGCAACGCAGCUGGUCUACAGGAAAUAAUGCUGU